GGGUUGUGAGGUUAAGCGACUAAGCGUACACGGUGGAUGCCCUGGCAGUCAGAGGCGAUGAAGGACGUGCUAAUCUGCGAAAAGCGUCGGUAAGGUGAUAUGAACCGUUAUAACCGGCGAUGUCCGAAUGGGGAAACCCAGUGCAAUUCGUUGCACUAUCGUUAACUGAAUACAUAGGUUAACGAGGCGAACCGGGGGAACUGAAACAUCUAAGUACCCCGAGGAAAAGAAAUCAACCGAGAUUCCCCCAGUAGCGGCGAGCGAACGGGGAGCAGCCCAGAGUCUGAAUCAGCUUGUGUGUUAGUGGAACGGUCUGGAAAGUCCGACGGUACAGGGUGAUAGUCCCGUACACCAAAAUGCACAGGCUGUGAACUCGAAGAGUAGGGCGGGACACGUGGUAUCCUGUCUGAAUAUGGGGGGGACCAUCCUCCAAGGCUAAAUACUCCUGACUGACCGAUAGUGAACCAGUACCGUGAGGGAAAGGCGAAAAGAACCCCGGCGAGGGGAGUGAAAAAGAACCUGAAACCGUGUACGUACAAGCAGUGGGAGCACCUUCGGGUGUGACUGCGUACCUUUUGUAUAAUGGGUCAGCGACUUAUAUUCUGUAGCAAGGUUAACCGUAUAGGGGAGCCGCAGGGAAACCGAGUCUUAACUGGGCGUUAAGUUGCAGGGUAUAGACCCGAAACCCGGUGAUCUAGCCAUGGGCAGGUUGAAGGUUGGGUAACACUAACUGGAGGACCGAACCGACUAAUGUUGAAAAAUUAGCGGAUGACUUGUGGCUGGGGGUGAAAGGCCAAUCAAACCGGGAGAUAGCUGGUUCUCCCCGAAAGCUAUUUAGGUAGCGCCUCGUGAAUUCAUCUUCGGGGGUAGAGCACUGUUUCGGCUAGGGGUCAUCCCGACUUACCAACCCGAUGCAAACUACGAAUACCGAAGAAUGUUAUCACGGGAGACACACGGCGGGUGCUAACGUCCGUCGUGAAGAGGGAAACAACCCAGACCGCCAGCUAAGGUCCCAAAGUCAUGGUUAAGUGGGAAACGAUGUGGGAAGGCACAGACAGCCGGGAUGUUGGCUUAGAAGCAGCCAUCAUUUAAAGAAAGCGUAAUAGCUCACUGGUCGAGUCGGCCUGCGCGGAAGAUGUAACGGGGCUAAACCAUGCACCGAAGCUGCGGCAGCGACACUAUGUGUUGUUGGGUAGGGGAGCGUUCUGUAAGCCUGCGAAGGUGACCUGUGAGGGUUGCUGGAGGUAUCAGAAGUGCGAAUGCUGACAUAAGUAACGAUAAAGCGGGUGAAAAGCCCGCUCGCCGGAAGACCAAGGGUUCCUGUCCAACGUUAAUCGGGGCAGGGUGAGUCGACCCCUAAGGCGAGGCCGAAAGGCGUAGUCGAUGGGAAACAGGUUAAUAUUCCUGUACUUGGUGUUACUGCGAAGGGGGACGGAGAAGGCUAUGUUAGCCGGGCGACGGUUGUCCCGGUUUAAGCAUGUAGGCUGGUUAUCCAGGCAAAUCCGGAUAAUCAAGGCUGAGGUGUGAUGACGAGGCACUACGGUGCUGAAGUAACAAAUGCCCUGCUUCCAGGAAAAGCCUCUAAGCAUCAGGUAACAUCAAAUCGUACCCCAAACCGACACAGGUGGUCAGGUAGAGAAUACCAAGGCGCUUGAGAGAACUCGGGUGAAGGAACUAGGCAAAAUGGUGCCGUAACUUCGGGAGAAGGCACGCUGGUGUGUAGGUGAAGUCCCUGCGGAUGGAGCUGAGACCAGUCGAAGAUACCAGCUGGCUGCAACUGUUUAUUAAAAACACAGCACUGUGCAAACACGAAAGUGGACGUAUACGGUGUGACGCCUGCCCGGUGCCGGAAGGUUAAUUGAUGGGGUUAUCCGUAAGGAGAAGCUCUUGAUCGAAGCCCCGGUAAACGGCGGCCGUAACUAUAACGGUCCUCAGGUAGCGAAAUUCCUUGUCGGGUAAGUUCCGACCUGCACGAAUGGCGUAAUGAUGGCCAGGCUGUCUCCACCCGAGACUCAGUGAAAUUGAACUCGCUGUGAAGAUGCAGUGUACCCGCGGCAAGACGGAAAGACCCCGUGAACCUUUACUAUAGCUUGACACUGAACAUUGAGCCUUGAUGUGUAGGAUAGGUGGGAGGCUUUGAAGCGUGGACGCCAGUCUGCGUGGAGCCAACCUUGAAAUACCACCCUUUAAUGUUUGAUGUUCUAACGUUGGCCCCUGACCGGGGUUGCGGACAGUGUCUGGUGGGUAGUUUGACUGGGGCGGUCUCCUCCCAAAGCGUAACGGAGGAGCACGAAGGUUAGCUAAUCUGGUCGGACAUCAGGAGGUUAGUGCAAUGGCAUAAGCUAGCUUGACUGCGAGCGUGACGGCGCGAGCAGGUGCGAAAGCAGGUCAUAGUGAUCCGGUGGUUCUGAAUGGAAGGGCCAUCGCUCAACGGAUAAAAGGUACUCCGGGGAUAACAGGCUGAUACCGCCCAAGAGUUCAUAUCGACGGCGGUGUUUGGCACCUCGAUGUCGGCUCAUCACAUCCUGGGGCUGAAGUAGGUCCCAAAGGGUAUGGCUGUUCGCCAUUUAAAGUGGUACGCGAGCUGGGUUUAGAACGUCGUGAGACAGUUCGGUCCCCUAUCUGCCGUGGGCGCUGGAGAAUUGAGGGGGCUGCUCCUAGUACGAGAGGACCGGGUGGACGCAUCACUGGUGUUCGGGUUGUCAUGCCAAUGGCACUGCCCGGUAGCUAAAUGCGGAAGAGAUAAGUGCUGAAAGCAUCUAAGCACGAAACUUGCCCCGAGAUGAGUUCUCCCUGAGACUUUAAGUCUCCUGAAGGAACGUUGAAGACGACGACGUUGAUAGGCCGGGUGUGUAAGCGCAGCGAUGCGUUGAGCUAACCGGUACUAAUGAACCGUGAGGCUUAACCUUACAACGCCGAAG
RNAcentral lists this ribosomal RNA (2921 nucleotides) under Klebsiella pneumoniae subsp. pneumoniae. RNAcentral describes it as "23S ribosomal RNA". It matches the Rfam family "Bacterial large subunit ribosomal RNA". Lineage: Bacteria; Pseudomonadati; Pseudomonadota; Gammaproteobacteria; Enterobacterales; Enterobacteriaceae. The record is from RNAcentral.